Molecule: ribosomal RNA, 245 nt
Filed under: uncultured bacterium
Lineage: Bacteria
Description: partial 16S ribosomal RNA
Rfam family: Bacterial small subunit ribosomal RNA
Source: RNAcentral
GACGAAGGUGGCGAGCGUUGUUCGGAAUCACUGGGCUUAAAGCGCACGUAGGCGGCCCUUCAAGUGCCUUGUGAAAUCCCUCGGCUCAACCGAGGAAUUGCUUGGUAGACUGCUGGGCUUGAGGCAGGUAGGGGCGAGUGGAACUCUUGGUGGAGCGGUGGAAUGCGUAGAUAUCAAGAGGAACGCCGAUGGUGAAGACAACUCGCUGGGCCUGUCCUGACGCUGAGGUGCGAAAGCCAGGGGAG